Molecule: microRNA precursor, 60 nt
Filed under: Limulus polyphemus (Atlantic horseshoe crab)
Lineage: Eukaryota; Metazoa; Arthropoda; Merostomata; Xiphosura; Limulidae
Description: Lpo-Mir-2-P1h_pre stem-loop
Source: RNAcentral
UCAUCAAAGAGACUGUGAGGUAUGUGCUUCUUUGAUAUAUCACAGCCACCUUUGAUGAGC